AUUCGCUACCUCUCUCUCUCCCUCCCGCGCCCCCCUCCCUGGAUCCCUGCCCCGCCACCGCCGUCGCCGCUCGCCCGCGCACCCGUCGCGCCUGCUCGUGGUGCAGCCACGCCUCCGCCGUGGCGCUUGCCUCCCGUGCACACGGCAGGUGCUCCGCCUCUUCCUCCCAUCCGGCCAGAUCCGCGGCGCACGGUCUCUCGCGCUCGCUCGCAACCCUCAGCCGUGGCUUGGGUUUCGGGCUGGGCAUCGCCUUCGUCGACGGCGCGGCUCCGGUGGACUCCGGCGGCUCCUCUCCGUCUCCUUCCUCGCCCCCACACGCGGCUCCACUUCCCGCUGGCCAUGGGGCUGGCCGGCAGCAGCACCUCCCUCCCUCCCUCCCUGCCGCGGCCGGUCCCGCCGCACGGAGCAGCGCCGCCGACGGGUCCAUAGGCAGGUUGCAGGAAUAGCUUUAUAUUAGGAGCAGCUUCUCCACCACCACUUAGCGGUAGAGGAGGUGUGCUUCUUCCCCAACACAACAUAGCGGCAGCCACGGUAUCCUCGGCCCUCUCCCUCUAUCUACCCUCUUCUGUUCCUUACCGAAAAAUCAUUUUUUUACCUUGUAUAAUACUUGUGAUUUGGACCGAUUUGUGUUUUGGGGGGCAUCAAUUUGGUGCUUCCCCUGUCCAUGUGCUGCAGAGAAAAGGAGAAGAAGGGGAUGGAUGAGCAAGGAGCAGAAGGACCUGAAGAAGAAGGGCAAGGGAGGUGGGGCGAUAUGCAUGUCCAGGGAGGUCCGUCCCCCUCUCCUCCUCUUAUCUUUCCUUGUACUGCAGCAGCCCUUAAUCACCAUAACCACAUUAAUGGCCAAGCACGAGGUCUCCGCCGGACGCCCCCCCCCCCGGUGUGCGUCCAGGUCGUUGUUGCUUCUGGUGUUCUGCGUUCAAAGGGAUCAAGAUGGUGCCUUUCUUUGGGUCUGCAUUUCGUCCACUACUUCUCCCACCCAGCAGGGUAUGGUGGACGACCAGUUCCGGCAGCUACAGUCGCUGCAGGAGGAUGGCGGCAGCGCGUCGGGCUUCGUCGCCGAGGUCGCCACCCUCUUAAUCGACGACGCCGACCGGAUCAUCAACGACAUCGGCAGCCUGCUGGAUGCCGGCGGAACCUAGCCACCACUCCCCGCCGCGCCCCUCGUUAGUUACUUGUCGUGCUCGAUUUUUCCUUCCACGGACGAUUCUGUCAUUCGCCUCUACUGCCGGUGGUCAUGCCAGUCAUGCUCCUACUGGAUUCUUUUUAGAGGGCUUGCCUUGGACUUCCUUGAUCCUGAUUGUUGUUUCGCGUAUCUGCUUUGGGCCAUUGCUGUUCUUCUACCACUCAUACAUAUAUUAUUUGACCAUUUGCUUUGCUAAGGUUCAAGUAUGAUGUAAUUUAGAUUUGUUCUCUUCAAACUUGCACCAAUCAAUAUUUCUAGCUCUUAGCAUUGUCUAAUAUACAAUUUUAUUGUAUGCAGGACAUGCAUCCUUUAGCUAAAUUCAUCUUUGUUUGAUGUAGUUCUUUGUGAUCUGAAAGCAACUGACUACUCAAUACCAAUCAGUGCAUGGAGGGAACUCCUGUCCACCACGCCGGCGACAGGAACAUGGAAAACGCAGUCCACGGUGCCACCAAUGAACAAGGCCGAGACAAGCAUUGUAAGGAUCCCAGUUAGAAUGAUGCUUGAUCUCGUGUUAGAGCAUCUUGGGCUUCACAAGGCCAUCUGAGACUCGGGCUCAAUGAGAACACAAUGAGUGUCAUCGUUCUCUCUGACACUGCUGUUCAAGACGACCGGACCUGUCCACCGCGCAUGCCCAUUACUGGUGUUCAGUCCUCCAACGACAAUAUCUACCGUGUAUGAACAUUGCAUCCUUUAAUUUACCCUGUAUAUGAACAUUCCAUUCUUCAAAUGUGUUGUACUUUCGUUCUGGUGGCUAUGGAGAUGUGUUGUACUGUACUUUUGGUAUCCAUUGAUGAUGUCUUGCUCCGAUUACACUUGAAUGUUUCUUUUUUUUAUCCUGAUUGAA
Non-coding RNA from Aegilops tauschii subsp. strangulata, 2027 nucleotides. The record is from RefSeq and is a predicted model, not a curated record. NCBI's taxonomy places the organism in Eukaryota, Viridiplantae, Streptophyta, Magnoliopsida, Poales, Poaceae.